UUUUUAAAACAUGCCAUUGUGUUUCAGGCUCGCGGGAUUGAUGUGCAACAAGUGUCUUUGGUUAUAAAUUAUGAUCUACCUACCAAUCGUGAAAACUAUAUUCACAGAAUUGGCAGAGGGGGUCGAUUUGGGAGGAAAGGUGUGGCUAUAAACUUUGUUACUGAAGAAGACAAGAGGAUUCUUCGUGACAUUGAGACUUUCUACAAUACUACAGUGGAGGAGAUGCCCAUGAAUGUGGCUGACCUUAUUUAAUUCCUGGGAUGAGAGUUUUGGAUGCAGUGCUCGCUGUUGCUGAAUAGGCGAUCACAACGUGCAUUGUGCUUCUUUCUUUGGGAAUUUGAAUCUUGUCUCAAUGCUCAUAACGGAUCAGAAAUACAGAUUUUGAUAGCAAAGCGACAUUAGUCGUGAGCUCUUGUGAGGAAAGUCAUUGGCUUUAUCCUCUUUAGAGUUAGACUGUU
RNAcentral lists this small RNA (458 nucleotides) under Pongo abelii (Sumatran orangutan). Its description in RNAcentral is "retained intron". The record is from RNAcentral. Lineage: Eukaryota; Metazoa; Chordata; Mammalia; Primates; Hominidae.